Long non-coding RNA from Pomacea canaliculata, 149 nucleotides. RefSeq lists it as uncharacterized. Lineage: Eukaryota; Metazoa; Mollusca; Gastropoda; Architaenioglossa; Ampullariidae. The record is from RefSeq and is a predicted model, not a curated record. The transcript has 2 exons.
AGUGCUGUACGUAUGUCGGAAGCAAAUGUAAACAUCGAAAGGUGUCGACUUUAUUGAUCGCUUUUUACCUGCUAAAACUGUGAAGUAUCGAAGUUUUUGGUUGCCUGGGAGAGUUAAGCACUUUCAAAAGAACAGCAACCAAAAAAAAC